AAUAGGGGACGGACCGGGGAGGAGCUACAGAGAGCGGGAGACGAGAAGAAAUGGCGUCAAGAGUCAAGGAAGACAACAAAACUAUCUUCUAAACAACUCAACUGUAACCCGCCUUUAACCCACAGCCGUCGGAGUUGACUGGCAGCCCUCCAUGCUCGUGUUCCCGUGCAGAGGGAAGAACAGUUGGCGCCUCUCAAUAACUUAUAGCUCCAGUCAGGACGACGCAACAGUCUGCCGGAAUUUCAGGGGUACACAAAGAUUAGGACCUACAUCUCCCACGUUGUGGGGUCAUGGUCUUUUGUGGCACACCAGUGGGGCCUCGAUCAGCGAAAGAUCAGAGGCUACGGCCAGCUAGCUUCACCUGAAUGAACAGGGAGUUUUGGGAG
Molecule: long non-coding RNA, 386 nt
Organism: Entelurus aequoreus (snake pipefish)
Lineage: Eukaryota; Metazoa; Chordata; Actinopteri; Syngnathiformes; Syngnathidae
Exons: 3
Source: RefSeq, a predicted model, not a curated record